This is a long non-coding RNA of Dunckerocampus dactyliophorus (ringed pipefish), 1102 nucleotides long. RefSeq lists it as uncharacterized. The transcript is spliced from 4 exons. The record is from RefSeq and is a predicted model, not a curated record. Lineage: Eukaryota; Metazoa; Chordata; Actinopteri; Syngnathiformes; Syngnathidae.
UCUGCUGCCCUCUGGCUUUGUUUUGUUGCAGCACACCCCUGAGUCUGCAGGAGGAGUUUAUUGACACACCUGCAGACAAUUUACCCGCUGCCGUUUUAAGCUGCAGUCAGCAGACUUCCAAGCGGUGCCAGAUUGUUGCCAGCUCUUCGCCAGCUACCUGCUCCUUCCAGCAACUAGUUUCUCGCUUUGCUGCACUCUGGUCCUUUGAUUGUUUACUCAUGUACCUCAGUAUUCCCUGCCAGGUUUAUUCUCCUGCAGUGCUGCAGCCGCACCACCGUCUUGUGGUCCCACUGGAGCACUUUAAGAGCAAAGUCCACGCCAAUGGUGGCCCGGUAAUGCUGAGAGAAGACCUGGUGGACGUAGCGCUUGAUGAUUGAGGUCUUGCCCACUCCCAAGUCACCGAUGACGAGCACUUUGAGCAGGCGCUGGUGCUGCUGCAUGGCCAACGGGACAAGGGUGUAAUUCAUAGAGGGGAUUGGGGGGCUAUUCUCCACAAUAAACAAAUCAAGACAACAUACCGUACAUCAUAAAAGAGAAUUCUGGCUGUUCUGGGAAAAUGUUAUGCAUUUCCGUUGGAAGUUGCCACCUUAAAAAGAACGGACUGGUACAGCACACUAGACAACAGUGUUGUGCAUAAAUAAGAAGUCAAAAGGAGAGAGAGAGGGAGAGAGAAAACAGAAAUGUAGUUAUCUAUUUAGCCUGCGGUUUAUGUGCAUGGCCACGGCCACGCCCCCUUGGGCUUCCACCUCCUCCCGCCCCUUACAUUGAAACCGAACUGCUUCUACUCUUGUCACAGUGAAAUUGUUCAUGUUAAUGUGUGAAAAGUUCAUUUAAGAUGUGCAUUGUCAUUAUAACUGAGUGUGGUGUUUUGUUUUUUUUUUAUUCCGAACAUUUUUGACUGUGUGUCAAAUGGUGCACUUUUACUACACGCAUUUUGAUUGGUUACACACUGAGAAGUAAGGCAAAAUGCAGUGCACCGCCAGGACCGGAUGUUGCCCUCAACAAGCCCCUUGGUGAGUGUGUAGUGAUGGAACCUUACCACCUUCAGUUAUCCAUUUAUGGUCACAUUGCUACUGUUCUGUAAGAUAUUAUAUAUAUGUUU